RNAcentral lists this ribosomal RNA (389 nucleotides) under Acinetobacter baumannii. RNAcentral describes it as "bacterial SSU rRNA". It matches the Rfam family "Bacterial small subunit ribosomal RNA", at positions 196 to 565 of the family's 1533-position model. Lineage: Bacteria; Pseudomonadati; Pseudomonadota; Gammaproteobacteria; Moraxellales; Moraxellaceae. The record is from RNAcentral.
ACGGGAGAAAGCAGGGGAUCUUCGGACCUUGCGCUAAUAGAUGAGCCUAAGUCGGAUUAGCUAGUUGGUGGGGUAAAGGCCUACCAAGGCGACGAUCUGUAGCGGGUCUGAGAGGAUGAUCCGCCACACUGGGACUGAGACACGGCCCAGACUCCUACGGGAGGCAGCAGUGGGGAAUAUUGGACAAUGGGGGGAACCCUGAUCCAGCCAUGCCGCGUGUGUGAAGAAGGCCUUAUGGUUGUAAAGCACUUUAAGCGAGGAGGAGGCUACUUUAGUUAAUACCUAGAGAUAGUGGACGUUACUCGCAGAAUAAGCACCGGCUAACUCUGUGCCAGCAGCCGCGGUAAUACAGAGGGUGCGAGCGUUAAUCGGAUUUACUGGGCGUAAAG